Non-coding RNA from Hypoxylon cercidicola, 99 nucleotides. Lineage: Eukaryota; Fungi; Ascomycota; Sordariomycetes; Xylariales; Hypoxylaceae. The record is from the annotation of a GenBank genome assembly.
GGCCCUUUGGCCCAAUGGUAAGGCGUCUGACUACGACCAAACACGUUAAUGCGUUUGACAGUUAUCAGGAGAUUCUCGGUUCGAGCCCGAGGAGGGUCA